UUCAUUUUAUUAUUCAACAAUUUUCUUCUGUCUUCUCAACCUCUCUUCUUCUCUAUUUUCUUGAUAUCUCAAAUAGUUGAAAUAUUUUUUUUCUCCAAUCUUCUUCCCCAAGUCGAAAUCUUCGUCCUCUUAUACUCAGAUAAUUUUGAGCAUAUUUGAUUCUAUAUUGUCAAAAAUUAGCAAGGAAUAUCACAUUUUGGAGAUUGGGUUUGGUUGAGGAGGAUUCGUUGAGGAGGUUCUUAUGCAAACAUGAUGUCAAUAUACUGGUAUAACUCUUUCCGAGCAACAGCCGGAGUAUGCAAAGUUGAGAAUUGAGUAAGCAGGUCUUCAAGUAUACCACUUGCAUUGUCUAUGGAAGAAAAAAGUUUCUAUGUUACUAAGAUGUAUAGUUUCUAUAUGCUGAGGCAAGUGAUAAAAAGAAAUUAGAAAAUUCUACUUCAUGAACUAAACCUUCUAUAACUAAAAUGAUUUGUUUAUUGAUCGCGGUGUCUGGGACAACUUAGGAACAACUUAGUACUUCUUUGUACUUCCUAUUAACAUAGAAACAGGAUAAAUAUGACAGGAUUAUAUUGGUGUAUGCUUUUAUCCUUCUAUAUAUUGACAUAUUGAUUGUAGUACUUAAUAAAUGUCAAGCCAAUGUUACAAUUG
Long non-coding RNA from Solanum lycopersicum (tomato), 648 nucleotides. RefSeq lists it as uncharacterized. The record is from RefSeq and is a predicted model, not a curated record. NCBI's taxonomy places the organism in Eukaryota, Viridiplantae, Streptophyta, Magnoliopsida, Solanales, Solanaceae.